UAGAAAUGUAAAAGUUAAAACGUUCCCACGACUCGUUCGACACGGGAGGAUAACCCUAAUAAAACGGCGUCAUCGUUUCCCUGGCAACGGGCCUUCCAUUUGAUCUGUCUUUUAGCACAUUCAAAUUUCCGCGGUCGAUACAACAGCGCCACUAGCGGAGAAAUCUCACAUUAAUUUCGUCACUGCUUGAAGCUUUGACUGCAUACAGAGUAAGUUGGGAGAUUGCUCAUGGACAGGAUCCACUUUUUUAUUUUUCAAGUCAUCACAGAGAUGCGUUGGGAGCAUAGAUGAGGAUUAUAAACGCGAUCGCGCAACGCCGCUCGUGAGCAAUCUCUUAACUCAUCUCUGAUCGGAAUGCUCUUGCGCGGUAGAUAAAACAAUCUUUAAAAAUGGACGGACGAAUCCUGUGGAGAUUUACGAGAGUUGCAAUGCGCAACGACAAACAAACGAAAAUUAAUUCCAGCUAUUCCAGAAUACAGGAGCUGGGUGAUCUCUUUGACAACAUGACAUUACUCAGAUGACUUGGCCGACAAUUACAAGGACCUGGUUCUAUUUGUUGGUUACUUUAGCACUCUUUGGUUAUGUGAUGCCAAUAAGCAAUAAUAACAGUGGAAGUGCUAAGAAGUUGAAUUUUAAUAUCAGGGGUAAAUCAGCAACUGCUCAUGAAGAAAUAAAUGAAAGGGAUAAUCAGUUUUUAACAAUCGCACCCGCAUUACCAAUAUUGCCCGGUGCUCCGAUCCCUCAGAAAUUAGCAAAACGGUCUUAUAGCUCUCUUAGUUGUACAUCCAAUUUCAACGUCGAGGAUGCCGAAGUUGGGGGCUGUGACGUCGUCACACUGCAACAUGCGGGAGAAAGUAGAACAGUGGUGGCCACGCGUUCUCCAGAAGAGCGGGAAAAGAAUCCUGACAGAAUAUGUCUUGACAGACGAGGGCUCACAACUUUUCCCAGUAUAGUAGGGGAGACUAAAUUAAGAUUAAUGUCUCUCCAGCACAACCUGCUAACUAAAAUCGAUGGAAAGCAUUUUUCUCAACUGAAGAAACUUGUCUUUCUUGAUCUGUACGAUAAUCAAAUAGAGAAAGUGUGCAAUAUUGACCCGCUAGAAAAUUUAAGGGUACUUCUGAUAGGAAAGAAUAGAAUUAAGAAAAUAGAGGGCCUACAAAAGUUAUGCAAGUUAGAAGUUUUAGAUUUACACGGAAAUCAGAUUGGGCAAAUAACAGGUUUGGAAAAUCUGGCUUCGUUAAAGGUGUUGAAUCUGGCUGGGAAUAACAUUAAAAUCAUUGGACAGAAUGACUUUCAAGGCUUGACAUCACUGAAGGAAUUAAAUGUCAGGCGUAACAAAAUUAAGAAAUUACUUGGCUUCGGAGAGACACCGCAAUUGCAAAAACUGUAUCUUAGUAACAAUGACGUCCAGAAAAUCGAGGACAUGAAUAGUUUAGCAAAAGCCUUGCAAAUUAGAGAAGUAUCCAUCGAUGGCAAUCCUGUCACUCUGAGUCCGAAUUGUGUAUCUUUCUUGGUGGCUUAUUUGCCAAAUCUGCAAGUUCUGUCAACUAUGCAGGUAAGCGAACAGCUACGCAGAGCUGCUGCAGCCUGGAGGACGACGAAGGAACAGUCGAGCUCUGCCUUUUUGGAUCUGAGUACACAAGUUAGUGUAAAUGUCUUACGCGAAGAAGUGAUAUCAAAUGCAAAGACAAACUGGGAACUACUGAGAUCGCAAACCAAAUGUUUAGUUGGCGGCACAGGCAAGGCUAGUAACAUUAAAAGUGAUCGCAUCAGAGGUCUUAACCUGCAAAACUCGAACAAACUUGACACCGUUAAGCUAAAGAGCUUGGACAAAGCAAUGUGUAAAGGUUUUGGAAGCUUGACUUCCAUAAAUGAGAAUGCAGAAAUGAAAAAGAUUUUAUUUAAAAAGAGAAGCAACUCCAGUGAUAACAUGUUCGCAGGCAAUGAUGUGUGUAAUGUGAAUCCUUUGGAAUUUAAACUACCGCCAAUAUUAGUUCCUAUUAUAAAUAAUUUAACUGAAAACAAAGGCAACGCUGGUAUAGGCAAUAGCAAAGACAGAUUGCUCUUCAUCGAUGGUGAAGAGAGUACAACAGACUCCGAUCUGGAGAGUUCUGAGAGUCACGAGAGUUUGAAGAGUAAUUUAAGAAACCACUUAAUCAAUUCCAAUAAUCACUUCUCAGGAGAUAAAAAUGGUUCAGUAAAGAACAAGACCUCUGAAGCCCAUCCCUCCGUCAGGAAGUUUCAAAAUGAGGGUCCAAACAUGAUGUGCUUCAACAAGAGUAGUAAAGUACCUGCCAAUAGUUCCAGCCCGAGAAGACAGCCUUUGUCUAAAAAUUUAAAGCCAUUUUACGAUUACGAAGGUCGAACUGACUGCCAAUCUAGCGCAGUUGGCAGUCUGUCAUCGUUCCACUCCUCCAGUUCGAAGACCAGCAGUGUUGACAGUUGCAAGUCGUUUCUCAGUGACUCCACUGGAUCUUUGGGACUUCAGGCUACAGAAGACACGACCCAGUUGUCUGAAAGUGAUAAAAUUAAAGAGAAGGUGCAGUUAAAAAGAGUGGUACACUAUAAGAGUAACAGAGCUGCCACUGCUCGAGCUAAACACAGAGCUGUGCCACCGCCAAGUCCUCCACCGCAGCCGCCUCCACCAAGAGAGAGAGAACAAGGUGGUGAUUAUUUAGUAGAAAUAGUUGGACGAUGUCUAAAUGUCUACGGGCAAGGAGCACUGCGAUUCAUUGACAGACCUUGGAAUACCUCAAAAGCCAAUGACGUUAACGUGGUCAAAUUUAACUAUGUGCAAUUCAAUGGUGUAGCCACCGUACUAAAUAAAUUAAAACACAGAUUCCCUAAUGCGGAACACUUCAUCUUUAAAGAGACCAACAUUAGUCAUCUGGGUCAGAUUAAUGCUCUGGCUGAGGUACAAGGUUUGUCGAGUAUUCGAAUAGAAGCGGAAGGUAAUCCAAUCAUAUCGAAGGAUUGGAAGAUGUAUGCCAUUUUUCGCCUGGCUCAUUGGGGAUUGAAGGCCAUCAAUGGGAAAGAGAUAACCGAACAAGAAAUAGAACUAGCCAACGAAGAGUACUCCGGGUUAACAGACAUCGUCAUGUGGUCACUGCCAGAAUCGCUUCUGCAACCUCUUCUUCAAAGGCUUCAUUUGGAAAAGGCUCAGAAACAGAACGGGGAACAAAUUACUGCCAAACAGUUUUUAUUUAACUGCGACCCGGCUUUGAGGAACGUCGUCGCCAAAGAAGCUCUACAAUGGCGACGAGGAAACGUCACGCAAGAGGAUCUUAUUUGGAGGCACAAAGGGAUUACUAUUAUCAACGGGCAUUUCCUGCGCAUCCGAGGCUGCUCUGAAGAAAUUGCUUACAUUCGAGUUUGAAGUUCGAUAAUCCGGAAGGCAACUGUACCAAGGAAUACCCGGAUAGGCCGGACAAAAUUGUUGGAUCCCAGUCAAAGUGUCUACACGUCGUUUCCGGUCGCACUCCACGGAUGACAAUGGUCCCAGCAAUCUACCGUCUGGUGAAAUAAAUCAGAAUAUUGUCAAAAUUCUAUUCUAAGUGUCGCGAGACUCAGCCAACGUAAAAUCUCCGCAGUUUAUUAGUAAGGGGCAAGACAUGAACGAUUGGCAAUUACAUCUCGAUCAGAACUCAUUACCGAGGCCUAAUUUAUCGUUCAAUAGGAGAAGUAUAUACGAGAAGGAAUCGGGUUUAAUCGGAAAUGGUGGUUUCGUCCAUGAUACGAUUCCUUCAAGCGAACGCUUUCCAGGUGGCUCGAGAGGAACGAAUUCGCCCCGAACAGCUGAG
RNA transcript from Orussus abietinus, 3800 nucleotides. It is a transcript of the gene named leucine-rich repeat-containing protein 49, with no coding region annotated. The transcript is spliced from 10 exons. The record is from RefSeq and is a predicted model, not a curated record. Lineage: Eukaryota; Metazoa; Arthropoda; Insecta; Hymenoptera; Orussidae.